Ruditapes philippinarum (Manila clam) is the source of this 942-nucleotide long non-coding RNA. RefSeq lists it as uncharacterized. The record is from RefSeq and is a predicted model, not a curated record. The transcript is spliced from 3 exons. NCBI's taxonomy places the organism in Eukaryota, Metazoa, Mollusca, Bivalvia, Venerida, Veneridae.
ACAAUAGAUAUGAUGUGAUGGAAUAUUUCAGGAUCGGUAUGACAUGAAGUCUUCUGGACAAAGAGACCGUAAAAACAGACGACAUGCUAUGAGAAAGGGGUCUCGCAAGCGUGACAGCAGCAGUGACAACAACAGUGAUAGCAACAGUGGCAGUGGCAGCGGUAGUGACAACGACAGUGAUAGUGAGAACGAUAAUGAAAACGACAGUGACAGUGAAAGCGAAAGCUAAAGAAAAUUACGUGGCCGAGGGUGACCAUCUUCAUAGACUCCAAGAAUUCAAAGUGCUUAGAAGCUUUGUCUGAUGUGCACAGUGUUAAGAAUAAAGUUAUGUUAACCGGCUAACUAACGGAGUUUUCACUUAUUUUUCUUAAAUAUAACAAGUUACUUGUAUUGUGGAUAUAUUAAUUAUUGCUGAUUAUUCUCAUUUUUUAUACAAUGUUGACUGAUAUACAAAUAUGUAUAAUAUUGUUGUUGUAUUUUUAACAAAUAAAAUUUAAUAGCAAUUGGUUGAUAUAUGAGAUUAACAUAACUGAUUAUUUAAUUUCGAAAAUAAAUAUUAUUUUCUGGUUAACUUUUGUUAUGAUGGGGGAAAUUUAGCAAAUGAUACAAAUGCAUAAGGCUGAUAAACAAGUUAUUCUAUUCACAGAUACAUUUAGAAUGUUGCAAAAAAGAUCUUAACACAAUAAAUUGACCAUGUUAUUGUGUUUUGUUUCAAAUAUAUAUGCAAUUUUGAACGCAUGUUAAUAUAAAUAUUCAAAAGACUGUUUGUUUCAAGCACGAAGUGAAAUCACAAUGACAUUUAAUAUAAUUAUGUAUAAUUUACAGUUGUGGGUAUGAUAAAGUACUGACUUGUGAAAUCAUUGUAUUAAACAUGUAUAUAUCAUCCUAACAUUUGCUUGCUAUAUCGAAGUUAAACGAAGCAAUAAAUAUUAAUCUUAAUAA